Molecule: ribosomal RNA, 373 nt
Filed under: Stenotrophomonas maltophilia
Lineage: Bacteria; Pseudomonadati; Pseudomonadota; Gammaproteobacteria; Lysobacterales; Lysobacteraceae
Description: bacterial LSU rRNA
Rfam family: Bacterial large subunit ribosomal RNA
Source: RNAcentral
AAAACACAGCACUCUGCAAACACGAAAGUGGACGUAUAGGGUGUGACGCCUGCCCGGUGCUGGAAGGUUAAUUGAUGGGGUCAGCCGCAAGGCGAAGCUCUUGAUCGAAGCCCCAGUAAACGGCGGCCGUAACUAUAACGGUCCUAAGGUAGCGAAAUUCCUUGUCGGGUAAGUUCCGACCUGCACGAAUGGCGUAACGACAGCGGCGCUGUCUCCACCCGAGACUCAGUGAAAUUGAAAUCGCUGUGAAGAUGCAGCGUUCCCGUGGCAAGACGGAAAGACCCCGUGAACCUUUACUAUAGCUUUACACUGAACGUUGAGUUCGUCUGUGUAGGAUAGGUGGGAGGCUAUGAAACCAUGGCGCUAGCUGUGG